GUCCUUUCACUUAACAUGUUCGUUGUCUUGUCAUGUUCUUCUGGGCUAUGGAUUUAUAAUGAUUUAAUGCUUACAGUUGGAAUUGAUUUGGUUUGCCCUAUCCUAGCAACCGUCCCUACUGGCAUCCAAUACUUUUUCCUUUUUUUACUUGAUUAUAUCUUGCUAAUUUUGCCUUUUUUACUUUAUUUGUUUGCAGCCAUCUAGGAAGAGGACGACAUCGACGAUUUGUUGUGUUCAGAGAUCUAGGACGACAUCGAUGAUUUGUUGUGUUCAGAGAUCUAGGACGACAUCCAUCGAGCCCGACCAUGACUGCCACCACCAUAACGCGCCCCACAAGCAUCUGUGCUUAUCAAAAUGAAGAAGCCAUCCGUCAUGCGAAGGCUGCUCUAGAGAUCAACCCAGACUCUGCAAAAGUCUACAAGACUCAUGGAAUGCCUAACGCUAUGCUUGGCAAGUGGGAGGAAGCUGCUUGCGAUCUACAUUCCGCGUCAAACAUCAACUAUGAUGAUGUGAUCAAUGCGUGCUUGAGAAGGAGUAAUUUUUUAAUUCAGGUCGGCAAAGCGGCCGGUAAAAGGUGGAAGAGCGAAUCGGAAAAAGGCGCCCUAUGCGCGACCUUCUCUUCAUCCAUCCAUCCAUCCGUCCUUCCUUCUUUCCCCUGGUUCGGGAGCAUUCUUGGACUGCAGAACAUCUGAUUCCUGCGUUCUUUUUGCUGGUUGCACCCAUCUGAUUCCUUCAUCUCUCUCUGUGUGUUGCGGACGGCAAGGGCCUAUAAUCUCCUCCAAUUUGAAGUGCUGGCUUGUGCAUUUCCUGUUAUUCUGAACGACGCCACAGAGAAAUGUGGUGAAUCAUCUCUGGCAUAUUAACCCAUGCCUCAGUCGUUGAGGAUUUGUUGAUGCUCAUUCUGAUCCAAGCUGUCUUCUGAGAAUUCUUGAUGUGUGUCACGACCUGAAGGUUUGUACAGACACAGUAACAUCGACAGUGGUCAAAGUUCACCAUCAACUUUUUUGCAACUCCAGUGCAUUUUAUAUCUGGAAGUUAGGUGCAGUAUUUUGCUCUUUACAACUACAACAAACAAUCAUAGAUAUGAUUUCUGCAUUGAAGGGCUUAGCAGACAUGAUUUCAGCGUGUCGUUGGCCUAUCUGGAGUCACCUUGCUGGGUUUGCUCGCCCCUUCCGUACAUCCAAGUGUUCAUUGCCGGAUUCCUGCAGUUCGAGGUCACCGUCACCGGAUCCAUGCAGAACGAGGUCGUCCUCACCAGAUCCGUGCAUAUCCAACUCUCCCCCUUGUAGAUACAAUGAUCCCAUCCCUGAGGCUCUCCCUUUCACACACAAGCUCGUCUAGAUCAUUGCUCCCCUGGCCUAGGGAAUUUUUUCUUCUUCAUCACUCCUUGUCUCCGGUGCCCUAUAUCGAGUUUUUGGAACCUCCCCCUCCCUCGGUGAAGAAAGCAAGGAAUUAAUAAAAAGAAGAAAUGAGAGGAAAGGAGGAAUUGGCUGGCAGUGCGGGCCCGCUUCCCUUCAUUCGUGAAUCAAAAUAUCUUUUCUCCUACAUACCUUUGGCGCUGUAUUGCUUUGAUGAUCGAAGACUCGGCCCCGUUGCUCCCGUUGUGGUGCGCACGCCCUGCCGUGCCAUGCCAUGGUGGUUUCAGCGAUGGCGUUGGUAUGUCCUUUACCUCCUCUCCUGGAGCUACGUGAUGUGGUAGCGCGCAUAAAGAAUAUUAGAACUUCAAUAUUUGUGAUUUAGAAUUAGCUCUCAUGUCAAUGCUUUAGGAUGGUCGUUAGUUGAACCCAUUUCUUUGCACGACCAGACAUUAUCACAGUACAACCCUAAACCAUGCUAGUUUAGGAGUUGCUUGAAGCCAUGUUGUGAUUUAGUAUGUGUAGGCAUCAUUUAAGUUAUUUGUAGUAUUUUUUGUUUCUCUUAUGCUGAUUGCUUGAUUUGGUUGUUAAAAUGAUAAUUAAUAUAGUUUCUGCUAUGUCUUAGUGCACACCCAACCCCUGUGGGAGGGGACGAGAUUAGUGUGCGGUGCGCUCGGUUGGAGUAGAAAUAUAUCGAUUAGAUUAAAAUGGUCUUUAGUGGUGUCCUUGUGUGUUAUUUGUGUGAACGACUCAACGACGAAUGCCCAUCUCUUUCUCUUUUGGAUGCCCUGACCAAUUUGCCAAAAAGUUUGGUAGUACUGAUAGAAUGCCCCACCUUAAGGUAACUCCAAUGCAGGGACACAUUUUGUGGGUCCGUUUGAGUUGACCUUACUGCCAACUGGUUAGAAUAGGUGCCCUACCAUUUUACAUCCCCCUUAGCCUAUGGUUUAAAUCGGAUGGAAUCAGUGCUAUCUUUGCAUCUAUUACUGGUCAUCCUUCUCUCCUAUCUUUCUUAAAAUCUUCACAUGAACAUCCUUCUCUCCUAUCUUUCUUAAAAUCUUCACAUGAACUUGUGUUGGCCUAUACAAGGAUGCAACCGUAUGUACAACGGCCAUGUUUGUGCCUAAGUGGCUUGUCGCGCUUGUUAGUGUGAAGUACUUUUCCCUCUUUCCUAUGCGCUUUAGGGUUUUUGACACGAUGGAUGAUUCUUGUCAUGCGAAAUUCUUGUCUUGAACCGUACAACAAGACAUUGCUCUCUUUCCUAUGUACAAGACAUUGCUCUCUUUUCUAUGUUUUUCUGAUUCUAAAAUUUCUCUCCUCUGCCUGAUGAGGAUCAUCCAGUAUGUUGCCGGUCUGUCUAGAACGCAUGUUAACGCUAGGUUAGCUUGUCAGGUGUGUGGUCUGUUUAGUUAGUUGGUUAUAGUUUAGCAUGUCAAACUUAUGAGUUUGUCCUUGUUUUAGUGGGCUUAAUCUAGAGGUCAUUUAGUUUAGUGUAAAUAAUAAUCAAAGACAAGUGUUAAAUUAAUAAAUCAACUACACCUAACAAUGUUAACGGGCUAACUGUAUUCUAAACCAUGAGUUAAAAUUGACACCUGCACAUUAAUGUGAACACCUGUCAGUGAGUUUUAUGAGUCACGUGGUUCACAAUAAUAUCAGAUGCAUCUCAUGGAUAAAUCUACAAUUCUAAUAGUUUAAUACAUGAUGUUAAGGAAAAUGCAUUGCAGCUCUUGGGUACCACACACCCAAAUAGCGUUAAAAAAUAUUUGGAAAUUUUAAAAAUAUCUGAAAAAACCCGAGUGCUUGUGUACAAUUUUGUGCGGAAUGGGUGUCUGUGGCAUCUUGGCGUAUGAAUGAUGGUCUGACAUAUGUUACAUUCAAUUUUUUUCUACACAUACAUUUUUUUGUCUUUUUAUUUGCAUUCCAGAGGCACCAUUCCCCCAUGAAACUGAACACGUGUGUACUAUGGGCACUCUAGUUUCAUAUCCCAAAAUUUUGGAAUUUUUUAAAAUUUUCUAAUAUGUUUUUAAUGCUAUAUUCAUAUAGGGGUGUAUGGCACCCGAGAGCCACAUAUCCUCCUCCAUGAAGUUAAUGAAAAUAACAAAAAUCAAGCAAAUCAGUUCCAUUAUUAAAAAAUCCAUUGAUAGGAUAAAGCCACUUUAACCUUUCCUUGAGCUGGUAUGUACUCGUGAUUGAAAAGAAAAGGAAAUACAAGUCCGUUCGGAACUCGGAAGUUUGUGGCUAUAGUGUUCUCUCCUUUUCACAAUCCAUUAGACAAGACGCUUUGUAGUGGGCUGGCCUGCCGUGGUGGGACUAUGUUUUCGUGAAUGGCUUAUGCUCGUUGAAUAAAACGGUGCAUCGUUCAUGAUGUACUACAGAAAACUUCAUGCUAGUACUAGGGCGUGAUGUCUUAGUUCGUGGUGGGACUAUGUUUUCGUGAAUGGCUUAUGCUUGCUGAAUAAAACGACGCAUCGUGCAUGAUGUACUACAGAAGACUUCAUGCUAGUAUUGUGGUGUGAUGUCUUAGUUAGUAUUGUGGCAUGACGUCUUCGUUAGUCCAACUUAUAUGAUAGAAUUAUACGGGGAAAUUACUGGUAUGAUUGGUUUGAUGCCAAAAAUUGGCAUGCCAAUAUUUGGCAAAUGCCAAAUGUUGGCUAGUGAUUGGUUGGCUACCAACUUUUCUUCUUAACCUCACAAAAAGUUGCCAACAUUUGGCAAAUUUUGAUUUUGCCAAAUGUUGGCUUGCCAAAUAUUGGCAGUGCCAAUUGUUGGCAUCAAACCAAUUAUGUUCUACUAUCUAAAAAGAUCAGCAAUACAAGGCCCAAGCUUUUGCAUAAAUAUGCUAGUCUUGCAUGGAAACCGCACAUUGAUGCUUUCGAAAUUUUUAGUUGGAGUUGAAGGUGAGAAUAAAAAUAAAAUAAAAUAAAUUCAAAAAGUGGUAAAGAGGGUUUAGCCAAAUUGCCAAAUUGAUGUUUGUAUAUCUUACUACAAUGACGAGUUUGUCAAGCAUGACACAUGCGUGCACCCAACAUGUGUGUCUUGAUGUUCGUAUAGCUUACUACAAUGACGGAGUUUGUCAAGCAUGACACAUGCGUGCACCCAACAUGUGUGUCUUGAUUUAGACAAGCAAUAGUAAACUAGAGAUAAUUGUAACAUGUGAGUAAAUCAACAUUGAAUAUGGAUUUGUAAAAUUUAUGAGUCUCAUACACUAAUUUAUAUUUGCAUCUCUUGUGGGGUAAAUACAACUAUAUUUGUAUAUCUAAAGUUGAAGAAAAUUAUUUUGUACCAGCUGCAUCCGCAUUUAUUUAAUCUGUAAUGGUGAACUCCUAAUGAACAUAAUAACUACAAUAAUAGAAUUGUUUUUUACUUGAUUCUAAAAUAUAUAUACCUUUCACAAUCAAAUUACAAUUGAACUAAAAAUUAAAUUGAAUGUAGUCGUCCAUUUGUCAACCCACGUGCUAUA
Non-coding RNA from Aegilops tauschii subsp. strangulata, 4815 nucleotides. The record is from RefSeq and is a predicted model, not a curated record. Lineage: Eukaryota; Viridiplantae; Streptophyta; Magnoliopsida; Poales; Poaceae.